This 301-nucleotide ribosomal RNA is filed under the name uncultured bacterium. RNAcentral's name for it is "partial 16S ribosomal RNA". It matches the Rfam family "Bacterial small subunit ribosomal RNA", at positions 509 to 807 of the family's 1533-position model. The record is from RNAcentral.
CAGUCGCCGCGGUAAUACGAGGGGGGCUAGCGUUACUCGGAAUUACUGGGCGUAAAGGGCGCGUAGGCGGCACGAUUAGUCAGGCGUGAAAUUCCUGGGCUCAACCUGGGGACUGCGCUUGAUACGGUCGAGCUAGAGGAUGGAAGAGGGUUGUGGAAUUCCCAGUGUAGAGGUGAAAUUCGUAGAUAUUGGGAAGAACGCCGGUGGCGAAGGCGGCAACCUGGUCCAUUACUGACGCUGAGGCGCGACAGCGUGGGGAGCAAACAGGAUUAGAUACCCCUGUAGUCCCUGUCUCUUAUAC